GCUUCAUGAUGAUAUCAAGGCAAAUGUGACCUCACUGGCUGGCUGUUCCCUCAACCUGUUCCCCUAUAAAGGUCUGUAAUCUUGGUGGUCAUCGCAAAGUAAUGUGUGUUCGCUGUAAGGGCAGACCAACAGGAUGUCCCAUUCCUUCUGUCCUCCAUUCCCCCAUCUGGAGGAGGCACCCAUCUCUUUGCAAAGCCUUACAAGGAGUGAGUGAGGGUGUGGGAACAGGGCAAGCUUAGUGUGCCUGGGUUACAGGUUGCUGGGCGCUGCCAGAGUUACAGCCGUUGAGGCAGCAUGAGCACAAGUCUUUGGUAAUCUGAAAGCU
This is a small nucleolar RNA of Varanus komodoensis (Komodo dragon), 325 nucleotides long. Lineage: Eukaryota; Metazoa; Chordata; Lepidosauria; Squamata; Varanidae. The record is from Ensembl.